RNAcentral lists this ribosomal RNA (1115 nucleotides) under Wolbachia pipientis. Its description in RNAcentral is "bacterial LSU rRNA". It matches the Rfam family "Bacterial large subunit ribosomal RNA", at positions 1422 to 2519 of the family's 2925-position model. Lineage: Bacteria; Pseudomonadati; Pseudomonadota; Alphaproteobacteria; Rickettsiales; Anaplasmataceae. The record is from RNAcentral.
AAACAGGUUAAUAUUCCUGUACUUGGUGUUACUGCGAAGGGGGGACGGAGAAGGCUAGGUUAGCCGGGCGACGGUUGUCCCGGUUUAAGCGUGUAGGUGGGUGACCUAGGUAAAUCCGGUUCAUCGUUAACACUGAGGCGUGAUGACGAGGCACUACGGUGCUGAAGUAACUGAUGCCCUGCUUCCAGGAAAAGCCUCUAAGCUCCAGGUAACAUUAAAUCGUACCCCAAACCGACACAGGUGGUCAGGUAGAGAAUACCAAGGCGCUUGAGAGAACUCGGGUGAAGGAACUAGGCAAAAUGGUGCCGUAACUUCGGGAGAAGGCACGCUGGUGUAAGGUGAAGUCCCUUGCGGAUGGAGCUGAAACCAGUCGAAGAUACCAGCUGGCUGCAACUGUUUAAUAAAAACACAGCACUGUGCAAACACGAAAGUGGACGUAUACGGUGUGACGCCUGCCCGGUGCCGGAAGGUUAAUUGAUGGGGUCAGCCGCAAGGCGAAGCUCUUGAUCGAAGCCCCGGUAAACGGCGGCCGUAACUAUAACGGUCCUAAGGUAGCGAAAUUCCUUGUCGGGUAAGUUCCGACCUGCACGAAUGGCGUAAUGAUGGCCAGGCUGUCUCCACCCGAGACUCAGUGAAAUUGAACUCGCUGUGAAGAUGCAGUGUACCCGCGGCAAGACGGAAAGACCCCGUGAACCUUUACUAUAGCUUGACACUGAACAUUGAGCCUUGAUGUGUAGGAUAGGUGGGAGGCUUUGAAGCGUGGACGCCAGUCUGCGUGGAGCCAUCCUUGAAAUACCACCCUUUAAUGUUUGAUGUUCUAACGUAGGCCCCUAAUCCGGGUUGCGGACAGUGUCUGGUGGGUAGUUUGACUGGGGCGGUCUCCUCCCAAAGAGUAACGGAGGAGCACGAAGGUUAGCUAAUCCUGGUCGGACAUCAGGAGGUUAGUGCAAAGGCAUAAGCUAGCUUGACUGCGAGAGUGACGGCUCGAGCAGGUGCGAAAGCAGGUCUUAGUGAUCCGGUGGUUCUGAAUGGAAGGGCCAUCGCUCAACGGAUAAAAGGUACUCCGGGGAUAACAGGCUGAUACCGCCCAAGAGUUCAUAUCGACGGCGGUGUUU